GAUCCUGGCUCAGGAUGAACGCUGGCGGCGUGCUUAACACAUGCAAGUCGAACGAAGCACUUAAGACAGAUCUUUUCGGAGUGAAGACUUUUGUGACUGAGUGGCGGACGGGUGAGUAACGCGUGGGUAACCUGCCUCAUAGAGGGGGACAACAGUUGGAAACGACUGCUAAUACCGCAUAGUAAGAAGGAUUCGCAUGUUUUCUUCUUGAAAGCUUUUGCGCUAUGAGAUGGACCCGCGU
Molecule: ribosomal RNA, 241 nt
Filed under: uncultured bacterium
Lineage: Bacteria
Description: partial 16S ribosomal RNA
Rfam family: Bacterial small subunit ribosomal RNA
Source: RNAcentral